UUUAACGAUUUAUAUCUAUACUCAGACGGCACAGUUAUCAGAAUUUAAGAUGGCUACCGGCGGGCACGGGCCAGGGGCGGUAAAGCCCCCGGCGGCCCCAGAGGGCGGGCCCGCCAAAGCAACGUGGUUGGUUAAACAAAGGGUUGGAGGUCGGGCCUGGAAGACCCUUACUCGGUAAUGAUCCUUCCGCAGGUUCACUAGAAAUUAUGUUAGCAAAUGUCACGAGUGUUUUAAGGGGGAAAGAAUUGCCAAACGUACCCUACGGAAA
Molecule: unclassified non-coding RNA, 268 nt
Filed under: uncultured fungus
Lineage: Eukaryota; Fungi
Description: sequence contains ITS1
Source: RNAcentral